UACGUAGGUGGCGAGCGUUAUCCGGAAUGAUUGGGCGUAAAGGGUGCGUAGGCGGUUUCUUAAGUCAGAGGUGAAAGGCUACGGCUCAACCGUAGUAAGCCUUUGAAACUGGGAAACUUGAGUGCAGGAGAGGAGAGUGGAAUUCCUAGUGUAGCGGUGAAAUGCGUAGAUAUUAGGAGGAACACCAGUUGCGAAGGCGGCUCUCUGGACUGUAACUGACACUGAGGCACGAAAGCGUGGGGAGCAAACAGG
This 252-nucleotide ribosomal RNA is filed under the name uncultured bacterium. Its description in RNAcentral is "partial 16S ribosomal RNA". It matches the Rfam family "Bacterial small subunit ribosomal RNA", at positions 524 to 776 of the family's 1533-position model. The record is from RNAcentral.